GGCCUUUGUUCAGUGGUAGAGUAUCUGCUUUGCAUGCAGAAGUUCCCAGGUUCAAACCUUGGCAUUGCCA
This is a non-coding RNA of Podarcis lilfordi (Lilford's wall lizard), 70 nucleotides long. Lineage: Eukaryota; Metazoa; Chordata; Lepidosauria; Squamata; Lacertidae. The record is from the annotation of a GenBank genome assembly.